Molecule: non-coding RNA, 659 nt
Organism: Capsicum annuum
Lineage: Eukaryota; Viridiplantae; Streptophyta; Magnoliopsida; Solanales; Solanaceae
Source: Rfam
CCCGCUGAACUUAAGCAUAUCAAUAAGCGGAGGAAGAGAAACUAACAAGGAUUCCCCUAGUAACGGCGAGUGAAGCGGGAAGAGCUCAAAUUUGAAAGCUGGCUCCUUUAGGUGUCCGCAUUGUAAUCUCGAGAAGCGUUUUCCGCGCUGGACCGCGUACAAGUCCCUUGGAAUAGGGCAUCGUAGAGGGUGAGAAUCCCGUACUUGACGCGGCAGCCAGUGCUUUGUGAUACGCUCUCCACGAGUCGAGUUGUUUGGGAAUGCAGCUCAAAAUGGGUGGUAAAUUCCAUCUAAAGCUAAAUAUUGGGGAGAGACCGAUAGCGAACAAGUACCGUGAGGGAAAGAUGAAAAGCACUUUGGAAAGAGAGUUAAACAGUACGUGAAAUUGUCGAAAGGGAAGCGCUUGAAGUCAGCUAUGUUGUUUGGAAUUCAGCCUUGCUUCUGCAUGGUGUACUUUCCUUGUAACAGGCCAGCAUCGGUUUCAUCGGCCGGAUAAGGGUGGGAGGAAUGUAGCAUCCUUCGGGAUGUGUUAUAGCCUCUUACUGGAUACGGCUCGACGAGACCGAGGAACGCAGUGCGCCCUCACGGGUGGGCCCUCGGGCACCUUCGCACUUAGGAUGCUGGCGUAAUGGCUUUAAGCGGCCCGUCUUGAAACACGG